GUAACAAAAGCAGCCAUCGUCGUGAACGGUCACGGUACCGCGUGCAUGUUGGUAAUCCGUCGCUGAGAGAAAGCAUUCGAAAUUGACCAUUGUCCCGAGUGGCAUUAACAUUCGCUUUCGAAGCACGGUGAAGUGCCGUUAAUCAACAUCGCGAGCUACACCGCAGUGACCGGUUCAGUGACCGACGCAUUCGUGAGCCACGAUUACCCCGAAACCAACCGUUACUAGGCCGCGCAUAAACGGCUCGCACGAAAAAUCUGCGGAAAAUUGUUCCGAAGGAAUAGGAGUGUCCUCGAAAUAACAAACCCCGAUGAACGAAUUCGCAUAAUCAAAUAAGGGGUGAUCAAAUCUUGACCGAAGUACGGUGGAGUGCCGCUCGUCCACGUUGCAAACCGUAUCGCAGUGUCCAGCUUAGUGACCCACAAGUUUAUUAGUCACCAGUUGUUCGAACGCCAACCGUCACGGGGACGCGCAGAGACAGUUCCCACGAAAGAUCCGCGAAAAGGCUGUUCCGAACUAAUAAAGGGCGUUCUUCGGAAUAAAAACAAACCCCGCAGAAGGGGUUUUGUUUUGCACCUACAGAUCCGUCGACACGGUGGUGUCUGAGGCCAACGAACUGAGCCAACUGAGCGAAUCGAACGGGUACGGAACGGACCGGCUGGAGAGAGCCUCUACCACGCGUGGCGGUGAUUGGGAGUGGCACAAGCUGCGGCUCUGACUAGGGGCGACCGACGACCGGUAGCAAUUGGGGCAAGCAGCUGCCCAAAGGCAACCGAAUGACAAGGCGCACGGCACGACGCGUCACCAGAGCAACGCCGCUUAUCUGUGGUCUGUGUUAACAACGGUCGGUGUGUCCUUAGUAU
Long non-coding RNA from Armigeres subalbatus, 863 nucleotides. RefSeq lists it as uncharacterized. NCBI's taxonomy places the organism in Eukaryota, Metazoa, Arthropoda, Insecta, Diptera, Culicidae. The record is from RefSeq and is a predicted model, not a curated record. The transcript has 5 exons.